RNAcentral lists this RNase P RNA (369 nucleotides) under Paraglaciecola hydrolytica. RNAcentral's name for it is "Paraglaciecola sp. S66 Bacterial RNase P class A". It matches the Rfam family "Bacterial RNase P class A". From Rfam's summary of the family: Ribonuclease P (RNase P) is a ubiquitous endoribonuclease, found in archaea, bacteria and eukarya as well as chloroplasts and mitochondria. Its best characterised activity is the generation of mature 5'-ends of tRNAs by cleaving the 5'-leader elements of precursor-tRNAs. The record is from Rfam by way of RNAcentral. Lineage: Bacteria; Pseudomonadati; Pseudomonadota; Gammaproteobacteria; Alteromonadales; Alteromonadaceae.
GGAGUUGGCCAGGCAAUCGUCGCUUAUCGGGCAUUCGUGUGUUGAUAAGGGGAGGAAAGUCCGGGCUCCAUAGGGCAGGGUGCCAGGUAAUGCCUGGGCGGCGAGAGCCGACGACAAGUGCAGCAGAGAGCAGACCGCCUGUUGGUUAUUCGUAACCAAUCGGUAAGGGUGAAAGGGUGCGGUAAGAGCGCACCGCGCAGCUGGCAACAGUUUGUGGCAAGGUAAACUCCACCCGGAGCAAGACCAAAUAGGAUCCCGUAUGGCGUGGCCCACGUUGGGAUCGGGUGUGUUGCUUGAGCCAGUGAGUGAUUGCUGGCCUAGAUGAAUGAUUGCCCAAGACAGAACCCGGCUUAUCGGCCAACUCCGACU